UGGGGAAUAUUGCACAAUGGGGGAAACCCUGAUGCAGCGACGCCGCGUGAGCGAAGAAGGCCUUCGGGUCGUAAAGCUCUUUUAUAUGGGAAGAUAAUGACGGUAUCAUAAGAAAAAGCCCCGGCUAACUACGUGCCAGCAGCCACGGUAAUACGUAGGGGGCUAGCGUUGUCCGGAAUCACUGGGCGUAAAGGGUUCGCAGGCGGCAAUGCAAGUCAGAUGUAAAAGGCAAAGGCUCAACCUUUGUAAGCGUCUGAAAGUGUAAAACUUGAGAAGUGAAGAGGAAAGUGGAAUUUUUAGUGUAGCGGAGGAAAGCGUAGAUAUUAAAAAGAAUACCGGGGGCGAAGGCGACUUGCUGGGAACAAAAUGACAAUGAAGAACGAAAGAGUGGGGAGCAAGCAGG
Molecule: ribosomal RNA, 403 nt
Filed under: Verrucomicrobiota bacterium
Lineage: Bacteria; Pseudomonadati; Verrucomicrobiota
Description: Verrucomicrobia bacterium partial 16S ribosomal RNA
Rfam family: Bacterial small subunit ribosomal RNA
Source: RNAcentral